AGCAGCCGCGGUAAUUCCAGCUCCAAUAGCGUAUAUUAAAGUUGUUGCAGUUAAAAAGCUCGUAGUUGAAUUUCGGGAUCAAUAUAUCGGUCGUGCCUUGGUACGUACUGGUAUCAUUGGUCUCUCCUUUCUGACGAACCAUGAUGUCAUUAAUUUGGUGUUAUGGGAAGUUAGGACUGUUACUUUGAAAAAUUAGAGUGUUUAAAGCAGGCUUUGGCUUGAAUACAUUAGCAUGGAAUAAUGAAAUAGGACGUUCGAACCUAUUUUGUUGGUUUCUAGGAUCAACGUAAUGAUUAAUAGGGAUAGUUGGGGGCAUUAGUAUUCAAUUGUCAGAGGUGAAAUUCUUGGAUUUAUUGAAGACUAACUACUGCGAAAGCAUUUGCCAAGGAUGUUUUCAUUAAUCAAGAACGAAAGUUAGGGGAUCGAAGACGAUCAGAUACCGUCGUAGUCUUAACCAUAAACUAUGCCGACUAGG
This 475-nucleotide unclassified non-coding RNA is filed under the name uncultured Glomus. Its description in RNAcentral is "SSU rRNA". It matches the Rfam family "Eukaryotic small subunit ribosomal RNA", at positions 569 to 1050 of the family's 1831-position model. Lineage: Eukaryota; Fungi; Glomeromycota; Glomeromycetes; Glomerales; Glomeraceae. The record is from RNAcentral.